GAAACUGCGAAUGGCUCAUUAAAUCAGUUAUCGUUUAUCUGAUAGUACCUUACUACUUGGAUAACCGUGGUAAUUCUAGAGCUAAUACAUGCUAAAAACCCCGACUUCGGAAGGGGUGUAUUUAUUAGAUAAAAAACCAAUGCUCUUCGGGGCUCCUUGGUGAUUCAUAAUAACUUAACGAAUCGCAUGGCCUUGUGCCGGCGAUGGUUCAUUCAAAUUUCUGCCCUAUCAACUUUCGAUGGUAGGAUAGUGGCCUACCAUGGUUUCAACGGGUAACGGGGAAUUAGGGUUCUAUUCCGGAGAGGGAGCCUGAGAAACGGCUACCACAUCCAAGGAAGGCAGCAGGCGCGCAAAUUACCCAAUCCCGACACGGGGAGGUAGUGACAAUAAAUACUGAUACAGGGCUCUUUUGAGUCUUGUAAUUGGAAUGAGUACAAUUUAAAUCCCUUAACGAGGAACAAUUGGAGGGCAAGUCUGGUGCCAGCAGCCGCGGUAAUUCCAGCUCCAAUAGCGUAUAUUAAAGUUGUUGCAGUUAAAAAGCUCGUAGUUGAACCUUGGGCCUGGCUGGCCGGUCCGCCUCAC
Molecule: ribosomal RNA, 582 nt
Filed under: uncultured fungus
Lineage: Eukaryota; Fungi
Description: SSU rRNA
Rfam family: Eukaryotic small subunit ribosomal RNA
Source: RNAcentral